CUGACACAGUCAUGAUCAUACAGUAUGUAUAAUUCUCUGUCCAUUUGUAACAUGUUUACUUACUCAGACCUUGAGUCUCUCCAAAAAUUUCUCAAGAACAGCCUAACACUUUAGCCAAAGUAUUCUGUCCCUGCUUGUUUUAAAUUAUGUGCAAACCUCACCCAGAACAGCGCUGAACAGAGUCAAAUCCUCGAGAACAAUUACCCUGUCUCAACUGCCUUUGACUUCCGGCACCUGAUCUAAGAAUACAUAACUUGCAUGUCUUCAAAGAGUUGGCUAAGGGGAUUAAUAUAAGCGACCUAAGCACUACGGGUAGCUACAUUAUUUCCGAGUUUCCACUAGUAUAAAUAUUCAUGAGAACUGCCUUGAACACAGUUCAGCAAUUUCUCACAUAGCUAAACAAAGAGUUUCCACCUGAGCCAGUAAUUCUACACCUAGGUGUGUACCUAAGCAAAAUGAAAACAUAUGCCUACAUGAAAGAAUGUCCACGGCAGCAUUAUUCACAGUAGCCAAAAGAUGAAAACAGCUAAGGGCCAUCACCUGAUGAACAGAUAAAUAAAACAUGGUCUAUCCGUUCAAUGGAAUAUUAUUCGGCCAUAAAAAGGGGAGUUUCCUGUCAUGGCACAGUGGAAACAAAUCUGACUAGUAUCCAUGAGGAUGCGGGUUCAAUCCCUGGCCUCACUCAGUGGGUUAAGGAUCCGGUGUUGCUGUGAGCUGUAGUGUAGGUCACAGAGGCAGCUUGGAUCUGGCAUUGCUCUGGCUAUGGUGUAGGCCGGCAGCUACAGCUCUGAUUCAACCCCUAGCCUGGGACCCUCCAUAGGCUGAGUGUGGCCCUGAAAAAUGCAAAAAAAAAAAAAAAAAGAAAAAAGAAUGAAUUACUGGCAGAUGCUACAAUAUGGAUGGACCUUGAAGUCACUAGAAGCCAGACACAGAAGGCUACAUGUUGUAUGGCUCCACCUACAAGAAAUAUCCAGAACAGUCAAAUCCAUAGAGACAGAGGGCAGAUGAGUGGGUGGCAGUGCUUGGAGAUACAGAGGGAAUGGGGAAUGAUUGCUAAGAGGUAUGGAGCUUCCUUCAGAGAUAAUUAAAAUGUUCUGGAAUUAGAUAGUGGUUGGUGGUUGCACAACUUGGAGAUUAUCCUGAAAACUAGUAAACUGGAUGCUUUAAAUGGUGGCUUUUAUGUUAUACGUGAAUCAUGUAUCAAUUUUUAAACCUAUGAUGAAAGGAACAUCUCUGUGCAUAAAGCUCAUAAUCUGUAUUUACAUUACUUUCCUUGAAAGAUUCCCAGAAGUAAAUUUACAAGGUUGAAGGAUAUGAAGCUCUUUUCUCCAGAACUUAAAUUUGAUGUAAAGAAUUCAGCCAGUAAAGUAUAAAGAAGAGGAAAUAAAAUCCCCUAUGAUCCAGAAGCCCUGGAUUCGUGUUUUAGUGCAUCUGCCUGCAUUUUUCCACAGCUGAUAUCAUACUGGAUACAAUUUCAUACACUGAUUCUUUUCAUUUGUGUAUUUCCUCAGGUCCUUUAGGUCUCUGUCAGCAUCGCCUUCUGUCAUGCUAGAACCUUCCAUCAUAGGCAGUAAACCAUAAUUAUUUUACCAGGCACCUCCAGUCAGCUAUUUAAGGAUGUUCCAACGUUCUGUUCUUUAUUGUAAAUAACGGACAUGGGCUCAGGGCGCCCACGGGACACGUACCGCGCAAGUGCUUUACCAGCAGCAUACACUCUACAGCCACUCAGAGAUGGCCUUUCUCGUCACCCCCUGGGAAUAUCCUGAUCGCACGUGUUCAAGGGCUUGGGGAUACAUCUGUGUGGCGUGGGCAUGCUGGACUUUCCAAGAACAAUUAGGGCGGGAGGAGAGCCUAAGUUUCACGGCGCUUUGGGGACGGGGGCGUGCACGGGGGGAGUUGGGCGACAAACCGAGAAGCAGGGCGCCUGGAGAUCCCACGCGGGAUUGGGAGGCCCCCGGGGCCAGCUCCAGCUCUCCCGGUCCCCCGACGACUCCUAUCCGAGCAGCAUCAGCCCGGAGCGCCGGCCCUCCCCGCCCGCAGCUCCCCACGGAGGUCUCCCCUUCAAACACAGCUCUUCCUGGCCCCGGCAGGUCCGUUUUGCUGGCCAUUCCUAUCAGAGCGGGUCGGCAAGAAGGGGGAGAGGGCUGGAGGACACAGGCGCUGGCUUCCUUCUGCCCCCUUUGCCUGCUGCAGCCUGCAGGGCUCUUUAAGAAGUGGCCCUGGGCCAUUUCGGUUAGUGCCCGUGCCAGGAGAGCCAUUUACUGCCCUGAAACCUCGGAGGAGUCCUUCCUGCUCUCUCGGGGUCAGCCUCAGUUUCCUCUCUUUCAAAUGGGCAUGAUCCGAUGAACCUCACAGGGCCAGGCUGGCUGGGGGGCGGCCUCUUCAGUCACCGUGGGGAGACCAGCUCCACCCGCCACCUGCCUCCGCCUCACCCUCCAGGAGACCUGCUUCAGACCGCAGGAGCUUCCUUUCGCGGCAGUGCUCCGUGGCGGCCCCUCCCUUCCUCGAAGCCAGCCUCGGUCGGGGUCUCUCUCAGGAUGCCAGCUCCCGGGUUCUCCCUCUCCGGCAUCCCUCUUCCACUCAGAAAGGACCUCGUGAUCCCACCGGGCCCGCCCAGAUCAUCCAGGAGAAGCUCCCUGCGGUGAGUCACAUCUGCAAAGUCCCAUGUGCCAUGGCAAAUAACACGGUCACAGGCUCCAGGGAGUGGGACGUGGACAUCUUGGGGGCCACCGUUCCAGCACCUCGAAAGCCACGCCCUCCCUCCCAGGGGCGGGGAAAUCUGACACCCACUUUCUCAAAUCGCAGAAGAGUAAAGGUGGGCAGCCGAAGGGGAGAGCAGAGAGGAGAGAGAAGAGUAUAGACACUGACUUUUUUUUUCAGCCCAUGAGGGUAAGUGAACCUGUUUGGAUGACCUACAAUCUUUCUAAUGGGGAAAGUUUGGUUUUAAAAUGGGGUAACACUGGUUAUAACUGGUUGAUAACCUUAUAUAUGUUUCCUGUGUACGACAUUAUAUUUUGACUUCUGUAUACACUGCAGCGUGUGCGCCGCCAAAAGUGUAGCUUCCGUCUGUCACCGUACAGUUGACAUCCUUUACCCAUCUGGCCCUUCCCCGACGCCCUGCCUCGUAACCAGUACUCCGUUCUCUGAAUCUAUGGACACACACUGAUGGGGAACACAUUUCCUGUGUGAAAAGGAGGCCAGCAUAAUCCUGUGAUGCCUUGGUCUAUGCUUUCCAGUCUCCGGCCACAAGAUAGUCUUCCUAUUUCCAGGUCAGGCUUCUUUGAGAGAUGCGAUUCAGACAGAACACUCUUUAUCUCCAUUUCAUUCCAAAGCAAUCCUCAAGAAAUUAGGGCGACUCCCUUCACCUUUUCUGCCGCACGUGGCUCACAGGGAAGGAGUUUCAGAGCCCGCCAGAGCACAGACCCUGGGCGUGCGGGGUUGGUACAUGGAGAACUGGACCCUGUUUGCUGUGCCCCCGCCUCUCCAAUUUCAGUGGUGUAACGCUGACACCUGACAGCCAGGUUCUCAGCAGUGAGCGCGUCUCUGAACUCCCUGAAAUCACACAAAAACGCUGAUGAGCACAGUCCAGGGCUGCCAGCCGAUCCCCUGAGAGGGUGAUCACCCCCCAAAAGAAGUUGAGAAGCUCAAUUCCUCAACUCUCUGUCACGUUUAAAACAGCACUGCAUGUACCGCAAACCUGCCACAUUAGGCCUGACGAGUCACUCAAUCACACUGAUUAUGUGUUUAGAACAUGUACGUACUUGCCUGGGCAGCUGUCAUCGAGUCCCAAUUCUAGAAGUUAGGGUAAAGGCUAGUCAAACCUAGAACUCAGUCCAGACAUUGCGACUGACAUUUCAGUGGGGUUUUUUGUUGUUGUUGUUUUUGGGGGGUUUUUUGGUGUGUUUUUUUUGGGUUGCACCCACAGCAUAUGGAGGUUCCCAGGCCAGGGGUCUAAUCAGAGCUAUAGCCGCAGGCCUACACCACAGACACAGCAACACAGGAUCCGAGUCGAGUUUGCGACCUACACCACAGCUCACGGCAACACCGGAUCCUUAACCCACCGAGUGAGGCGACGGAGCGAACCUGCGUCCUCAUGGAUGCUAAUCAGAUUCGUUUCCGCUGAGCCACGAAGGGAACGCCUCAGUGUAUUAAGGGAGCAUGAGUGAUCCGAUUUCAGUGAUGAGUCUUAGAAUUGUUCUUGAAUUACACUCAUGAUUUCCAUGUGAAAAGACUGUCUUCUUUAGGAGAAAAAAAAAAUUAUAAUACCAGUUUUUUCACUGACUCCAACACAAAACUAACAGUUACGGUUCA
This 4311-nucleotide long non-coding RNA is filed under the name Sus scrofa (pig). RNAcentral's name for it is "lncRNA (ENSSSCG00030071511.1)". The record is from RNAcentral. Lineage: Eukaryota; Metazoa; Chordata; Mammalia; Artiodactyla; Suidae.